This 812-nucleotide long non-coding RNA is filed under the name Homo sapiens (human). RNAcentral describes it as "non-protein coding lnc-ECHDC1-1:3". Lineage: Eukaryota; Metazoa; Chordata; Mammalia; Primates; Hominidae. The record is from RNAcentral.
GGCAGAUGAGAGCAUGAAUGAACCAAGGCACUGGUUCAGUUGGAGGUCAAGUGGAAGGUCAAGUGGGUAGGCAUGGAGAGGGCUCCCUGGAGGAAUACCCAGCUGAGGGAUGCCCAUAAAACGAUCACACUGAAGGUCUGGGUGAUGAGGCUGCAGGCUCAAGAACAACCAUAGUAGGGCUGAGUUUGACUGGGAACACAGGAUUAUCAGUCCUCAGCCUCUCAUCUCAAUAGCUUGAAUUUGUGCUUGGUCAUUGGUAACAUGGAGUAAAAAAAUGAUUGAAGUUUCUUCAGGGAUGUGUUUCUGCCUAUCCUCUGUCAGGACCCUUGAGACACCUUUGCUGUGAAUAAUGGAGAAGCAAAAGGAGUUACUAAUGAAGACAAACUAAACCUGAGAACAGAGAGAGCCUAACUAUGUGCUCCAGAAGUGCCAUGUGUGUCUAAGCUUUGCUGUGGAGUAGUCACAAGUAUUAGUUAAGAAAAUCGUCCCACCCCAUGUGUAAGUACGUUCUGAAACAGUGUAUCAUAGGCCCAGUGAUGUAGAGGUACCCAGGAGCUUCAGAUUUUAUGACUGGAUUCAACCGCUGGUCAUAAAUGAAUGACACUGACUGGAAGAGAAAGAUUUUCUGGUCCUGCAAAAAGAAGAAUAUUGGAAUUUGACAUAUUUUCAUUUACAUAAUACAAAUGAUUCCUUUGCUCUUUUGAUUUCCUUUACUUAUAUUGCUAAUCCAAAUAACAUAAAACAACACAUUGCAGCAAUUGUAUGCAUUACUGCUUUGGGAUAAAAAUCUAAUAAAGAUGGCUCCUGAUAUU